AACGAACGCUGGCGGCAUGCCUAACACAUGCAAGUCGAACGAGACCUUCGGGUCUAGUGGCGCACGGGUGCGUAACGCGUGGGAACCUGCCCUUAGGUUCGGAAUAACUCCCCGAAAGGGGUGCUAAUACCGGAUAAUGUCUUCGGACCAAAGAUUUAUCGCCUUUGGAUGGGCCCGCGUUGGAUUAGCUAGUUGGUAGGGUAAAAGCCUACCAAGGCGACGAUCCAUAGCUGGUCUGAGAGGAUGAUCAGCCACACUGGGACUGAGACACGGCCCAGACCCCUACGGGAGGGAGCAGGGGGGAAUUUUGGAAAAUGGGCGAAGGCCUGACCCAGCAAGGCCGGGUGGGUGAUGAAGGCCUUGGGUUUGUAAAGCUUUUUUCCCCGGGAUGAAAAGGAAAGAACCGGGAAAAUAAGCCCCGGCUAACCCCGU
Molecule: ribosomal RNA, 432 nt
Filed under: uncultured bacterium
Lineage: Bacteria
Description: partial 16S ribosomal RNA
Rfam family: Bacterial small subunit ribosomal RNA
Source: RNAcentral